AAACUUAAGAACAGAUUUUUCACUUAAUAAGCAAAAGCUUAGUGAAAUUCUUUGAGAGCAAAGAUGAUUUUCUUGAGCGUGAAAUAAUUCAGUAUAGUUUUGGCUAGUUGAUUUCUUGCUACUGAAUGUUGAUUGCAUCUCUAUUUAUAUAAGAGUUGGAGUAGAGUUGAAUCUGGUGGAUAUUAAACUGAGUUUACUCCAUCACUAAAAUAGCUUCUGCAGUUUAACUUU
Molecule: long non-coding RNA, 231 nt
Filed under: Lathyrus oleraceus (garden pea)
Lineage: Eukaryota; Viridiplantae; Streptophyta; Magnoliopsida; Fabales; Fabaceae
Description: Pisum sativum (pea) long non-coding RNA (PSAT_LNC011316)
Source: RNAcentral